AGUGAACGCUGGCGGUAGGCCUAACACAUGCAAGUCGAACGAGUGGCGGACGGGUGAGGAAUGCAUCGGAAUCUACUCUUUCGUGGGGGAUAACGUAGGGAAACUUACGCCAAUACCGCAUACGAAUGAAUGAGCCGAUGCCCGAUUAGCUAGUUGGCGGGGUAAGAGCCCACCAAGGCGACGAUCGGUAGCUGGUCUGAGAGGAUGAUCAGCCACACUGGAACUGAGACACGGUCCAGACUCCUACGGGAGGCAGCAGUGGGGAAUAUUGGACAAUGGGCGCAAGCCUGAUCCAGCCAUACCGCGUGGGUGAAGAAGGCCUUCGGGUUGUAAAGCCCUUUUGUUGGGAAAGCGGUACCCAAAGAAUAAGCACCGGCUAACUUCGUGCCAGCAGCCGCGGUAAUACGAAGGGUGCAAGCGUUACUCGGAAUUACUGGGCGUAAAGCGUGCGUAGGUGGUUGUUUAAGUCUGUCGUGAAAGCCUUGGGCUCAACCUGGGAAUUGCGAUGGAAACUGGGCGACUAGAGUGUGGCAGAGGAUAGUGGAAUUCCUGGUGUAGCAGUGAAAUGCGUAGAGAUCAGGAGGAACAUCCAUGGCGAA
RNAcentral lists this ribosomal RNA (599 nucleotides) under uncultured bacterium. Its description in RNAcentral is "bacterial SSU rRNA". It matches the Rfam family "Bacterial small subunit ribosomal RNA", at positions 28 to 719 of the family's 1533-position model. The record is from RNAcentral.